CAUUAGUUCCGGUUUGUAUCACAAACCGGGACUAUAUGUGGACCUUUAGUUCCGGUGCAUGAUGCAAACUGGGACUAAAUCUUUUCCUAUAUAAACCACUUCAUCCAGACCGAGCUCAUUGCUCUGUUUUCUCCACUCUCUCCUCUGUUCUUCCCUUGCUCGAGCUCACCGUCCAAUUUUUGCCAAGAUUUGUCAAGAUUUGAGGCACCCCAUCUCUCCAAGUGUUCACAAAGGUGUGGUUUACUUAGUACCUUCCUGUCUCCGUCCUAACCACCGUCGAUUGCCUCCACCGUCUCGUCGUCGGCUCCACCUUGUGUCAUGGUCUUGAUAUCCAUCCCCAUCGGCCCUCGUCCGGAUUAUGAUUCAGGUGUGGUAUAUUCUCUUUCAUAACUAUUUUUUUGCAUUUCUCGUUUAUAUGACAAUUAUGCCCAUCAAGUUGACAUAGAUAUUUUUAUCGAGGAGGUGUGUGAAGCGGAAAUUGCAUCUGACCCUCUUGUCGAGAAGUUAAAUUUAGUUGAAAAACAAAAUGAGUAUUUGAAAGAAAAAUUGAAAGGAAUUGAAGAAGAGAAGAUGAAAUUGGAGUUGUAUGUUGCCGACGUCGUCGAUGAUCACACGAUCAAGACGGAUGCAAUGUGCUUGAAGAUUAGAAGGAUUAGAAACUAUGCCCUUAAUAAAGAGGCUUGGUAUCACUAUGUU
Hordeum vulgare subsp. vulgare (domesticated barley) is the source of this 696-nucleotide long non-coding RNA. RefSeq lists it as uncharacterized. Lineage: Eukaryota; Viridiplantae; Streptophyta; Magnoliopsida; Poales; Poaceae. The transcript is spliced from 3 exons. The record is from RefSeq and is a predicted model, not a curated record.